AUUCAUAUGAUCUUGAAGACCUUUCUGCACAGAAAUGAGGGAAAUACAAACAACCAAAUAUAGUUCUGAAAUUCGGGAUCUAUAUUUUGAGAUGAUUUUAUUUUCAGAAUGAGAAGUAUAUAUGGUUACCGUUAUGAAUGUAGAGACAUGAGAAGAGUCAUGAUGGCAAAAAACAAAGAGCCUCGUCCCCCAUCCUAUACUAUCAGUGUAGUUGGACUCUCUGGGACUGAAAAAGACAAAGGUAACUGUGGAGUUGGAAAGUCUUGUUUGUGCAAUCGAUUUGUACGCUCAAAAGCAGAUGAAUAUUAUCCAGAGCAUACUUCUGUGCUUAGCACCAUUGACUUUGGAGGACGAGUGGUAAACAAUGAUCACUUUUUGUACUGGGGUGACAUAACACAAAAUGGUGAAGACGGAGUAGAAUGCAGAAUUCAUGUCAUUGAACAAACAGAGUUUAUUGAUGACCAGACUUUCUUGCCUCAUCGGAGUACGAAUUUACAACCAUAUAUAAAACGUGCAGCUGCCUCUAAAUUGCAGUCAGCAGAAAAACUAAUGUACAUUUGCACUGAUCAACUGGGCUUGGAGCAAGACUUUGAACAGAAGCAAAUGCCUGAAGGGAAGCUCAAUGUAGAUGGAUUUUUAUUAUGCAUUGAUGUCAGUCAGGGAUGCAAUAGGAAGUUUGAUGAUCAACUUAAGUUUGUGAAUAACCUUUUUGUCCAGCUAUCAAAAUCAAAAAAGCCUGUAAUAAUAGCAGCAACUAAAUGUGAUGAAUGCGUGGACCAUUAUCUUAGAGAAGUUCAGGCAUUUGCUUCAAAUAAAAAGAACCUUCUUGUGGUGGAAACAUCAGCACGAUUUAAUGUCAACAUUGAAACAUGUUUCACUGCACUGGUACAAAUGUUGGAUAAAACUCGUGGCAAGCCUAAAAUUAUUCCCUAUCUGGAUGCUUAUAAAACACAGAGACAACUUGUUGUCACAGCAACAGAUAAGUUUGAAAAACUUGUGCAGACUGUGAGAGAUUAUCAUGCAACUUGGAAAACUGUUAGUAAUAAAUUAAAAAAUCAUCCUGAUUAUGAAGAAUACACCAACUUAGAAGGAACAAGAAAGGCCAGGAAUAUGUUCUCAAAACACAUAGAACAACUUAAACAGGAACAUAUAAGAAAAAGGAGAGAAGAAUAUAUAAAUACUUUACCAAGAGCUUUUAACACUCUUUUGCCAAAUCUGGAAGAGAUCGAACAUUUGAAUUGGUCAGAAGCUUUGAAGUUAAUGGAAAAGAGAACAGAAUUCCAGUUAUGUUUUGUGGUGCUAGAAAAAAACACCUUGGGAUAAAACUGACCAUAUAGACAAAAUUAAUGAUUAAUGAUAGACGGAUCCCAUUUGACCUCCUGAGCACUUUAGAAGCUGCAAAAGUCUAUCAGAACGAUGUACAACAUCUAACAUCAGAGAAGAGGAGGGUAGAAAUGAAGAAAAAAUUCAAAAAGACGCUGGAAAAGAUUCAGUUCAUUUCACCUGGAUAGCCAUGGGAGGAGGUUAUGUGCUUUGUUAUGGAGGAUGAAGCCUUCAAAUAUAUUACUGAGACUGAUAGCAAAGAAGUGUAUGGUAGACAUCAGUGAGAAAUAGUGGGAAAAGCCAAAGAAGAAUUUCAGGAAAUGCUUUUUGAGCAUUCUGAGCUUUUUUAUGAUUUAGAUCUUAAUGAAACACCUAGUUCAGAUAAAAUGAGUGAAACUCAUACAGUUCUGAGUGAAGAACCUAGAUAUAAAGCUUUACAGAAACUUGCACUUGAUAGAGAAUCUCUUCUACUUAAGCACAUAGGAUUUGUUUAUCAUCCCACUAAAGAAACAUGUCUUAGUGGCCAAAAUUGUACAGACAUUAAAGUGGAGCAGUUACUUGCCAGUAGCCUUUUACAGUUAGAUCAUGGGCGCUUACGGUUGUAUCAUGAUAGUACCAGUAUAGAUAAAGUUAACCUUUUUAUUUUAGGGAAGGAUGGCCUUACCGAAGAACUGGCAAAUGAGAUAAGGACACAAUCCACUGAUGAUGAGUAUGCCUUAGAUGGAAGAAUUUAUGAACUUGAUCUUCGACCGGUUGAUGCCAAAUCGCCUUACUUUUUGAGUCAGUUAUGGACUGCCACCUUUAAACCACACAGGUGCUUCUGUGUGUUUAAUUCCAUUGAGUCAUUGAGUUUUAUUGGAGAAUUUAUUGGAAAAAUAAGAACUGAAGCUUCUCAGAUAAGAAAAGAUAAAUACAUGGCUAACCUUCCAUUUACAUUAAUUCUGGCUAAUCAGAGAGAUUCUAUUAGUAAGAAUCUACCAAUUCUCAGGCACCAAGGGCAGCAGUUGGCAAACAAGUUACAGUGUCCUUUUGUAGAUGUACCUGCUGGUACAUAUCCUCGUAAGUUUAAUGAAACCCAAAUAAAGCAAGCUCUAAGAGGAGUAUUGGAAUCAGUUAAACACAAUUUGGAUGUGGUAAGCCCAGUUCCCACCAAUAAGGAUGUAUCAGAAGCUGACUUGAGGAUUGUCAUGUGUGCCAUGUGUGGUGAUCCAUUUAGUGUGGAUCUUAUUCUUUCACCCUUCCUUGAUUCUCAUUCUUGCAGUGCUGCUCAAGUUGGACAGAAUAAUUCACUAAUGCUUGAUAAAAUCAUUGGUGAAAAAAGAAGGCAGAUACAGAUCACAAUAUUAUCAUACCACUCUUCAAUUGGAGUAAGAAAAGAUGUACUGGUUCAUGGGUAUAUAUUAGUAUACUCUGCCAAAUGGAAAGCAUCAAUGGGAAUGCUUCGAGCACUUCUAUCAGAAGUUCAAAACAACAUUCCUGUACAACUGGUGGCAGUUACAGACAGCCAAGCAGAUUUUUUGAAAAUGAGGCUAUCAAGGAGUUAAUGACUGAGGGGGAACACAUUGCAACUGAGAUCACUGCUAAAUUUGCGGCAUUGUAUUCUUUAUCUCAGUAUCAUCGGCAACUGAAGUCUUUACUCUUUUUUUUAGUGAUGUUCUAGAGAAAAAAAAUAUGAUAGAAAAUUCCUAUUUGUCUGAUAAUACAAGGGAAUUAACCCAUCAAAGUGAAGACGUUUUUCUACCAUCUCCCAGAGACUGUUUUCCCUAUAACAACUACCCUGAUUCAGAUGAUGACACAGAAGCACCACCUCCUUAUAGCCCAAUUGGGGAUGAUGUACAGUUGCUUCCAACACCUAGUGACCAUUCCAGAUAUAGGUUAGAUUUGGAAGGAAAUGAAUAUCCUAUUCAUAGUACCCCAAACUGUCAUGACCAUGAACAUAACCAUAAAAUGCCUCCACCUAUUAAACCUAAACCAGUUGUACCUAAGAUGAAUGUGAAAAAAUUGGAUCCAACCCUUUUAAAAACAAUUGAAGAUGGUAUUGGUAAAAAUCCAAGAAAACAGACUUCCCGGGUACCUUUGGCACAUCUUGAAGAUAUGGAUCCUUCAGAUAACUACGCAGAACCCAUUGAUACAAUUUUCAGAAACAGAAGGCCUAUUCUGAUGAGAUUUAUGUUGUCCCAGAUGAUAGUCAGAAUCGCAUUAAAAUUCGAAACUCAUUUGUAAAUAACACACAAGGAGAUGAAGAAAAUGGAUUUUCUGAUAGAACCUCAAAAAGUCACGGGGAAUGGAGGCCUUCAAAAUACAAACAUAAAUCUAAAACCUUGUUUAGUAAAACCAAGUCUAUUAUAGAAGAACACAUUCAGAUGCAAGUGAUGAUGAGGCUUUUACCACUUCUAAAACAAAAAGAAAGGGAAGACAUCGUGGAAGUGAAGAAGAUCUACUUCUUUCUCCUGUUGAAACUUGGAAAGGUGGUAUUGAUAAUCCUGCAAUCACUUCCGACCAGGAGUUAGAUGAUAAGAAGAUGAAGAAGAAAACCCACAAGGUGAAAGAAGAUAAAAAGAAAAACUAAGAACUUCAAUCCACCAACACGUAGAAAUUGGGAAAGUAAUUACUUUGGGAUGCCUCUGCAGGAUCUGGUUACAACUGAGAAGCCCAUACCACUAUUUGUUGAAAAAUGUGUGGAAUUUAUUGAAGAUACAGGGUUAUGUACUGAAGGACUCUACCAUGUUAGCGGGAAAAAAACUGAUCAAGACAAUAUUCAAAAGCAGUUUGAUCAAGAUCAUACUAUCAAUCUAGUGUCAAUGGAAGUAACAGUAAAUGGAAGUAACAGUAAAUGGAAAUAACAGUAAAUGGAAGUAACAGUAAAUGGAAGUAACAGUAAGAUACAGGGUUAUGUACUGAAGGACUCUACCAUGUUAGCGGGAAAAAAACUGAUCAAGACAAUAUUCAAAAGCAGUUUGAGUAAAUUUCUUAACAAUUUCUUUCCUGUAAACUAUGAUGUAUUCAGAUAUGUGAUAACACAUCUAAACAGGGUUAGUCAGCAAAAUAAAGUCAACUUAAUGACAGCAGACAACUUAUCCAUCUGUUUUUGGCCAACCUUGAUGAGACCUGAUUUUGAAAAUCGAGAGUUUCUGUCUACCACUAAGAUUCAUCAAUCGGUUGUUGAAACAUUCAUUCAACAGUGUCAGUUUUUCUUUUACAAUGGAGAAAUUGUAGAAACCACGAACAUUGUGGCUCCUCCACCACCUUCAAACCCAGGAUAAUUGGUGGAACCAAUGGUACCACUUCAGUUACCACCACCAUUGCAACCUCAACUGAUACAACCACAAUUACAAACGGAUCCUCUUGGCAUUAUAUGAGUAGGAAGUUAUUGCAAACAGCCUGGAUUUGGACAAAAAGAAAAUCUAAACAUACAUGUUUCAGGGUUCAGUAGUAUACUUCAUAUUUCAUACAGAUAAUUCAUUCAAAAUGAUGACAUUUUUCUCUUUGAACUAGAUGGUAUUCCUUAUUCACAUACAUUGCAAAUCUAGGACCAUGUGGUAAGCAUGACUGGAGAGGUUUAAUUUUUAUAAACAAAAAUAGCUAUAAAAUACAAAGCUGCUGCUGCGUGCAACCUUAUUGCAAUCAGUAUAUCAUUCCUGUGGCAAUUUCUGUCACAUUAUAUUGUGAAGAAAAUUUUUCUAUAGAAAUUAAAUGAUUUAAAAACUCACAUAUAUGAAGCAUUUAAUACUUUUCAGCCUGCUUUAUGGCUGGUUUGUUAUUUGAUGUGCUAAUUUGGGCAACUUAAUUUACAUUCCAGCAGUCAAUGUAGAUAACUAAAAGCCCAGCUAAUAUUUUAGAAUUUCGGGCUACUUAUGCCAUGCUUGGGAUGUUGUUUGAAAGAAAGAAAAAAUAAAUACACUUGGCAUAUCACAGAAUUCUGCACCUUCAUCUUUACUUCCAAGUAAACCUGUGGAUGAUUUGAUGAGGAGUAAAUGAACCUAUUUCUUUUACAUACAUAACAAGGACAUACUUAUGGCUAAGGUGAGUUGAUACUGUUGUGCAAGGAUAUUGUCACUGACUCAUUUCUUUAUGGUCCAUAAUGAAAUAAACAUUUUGUAUACUGUUAAUUCUGUAAACAGAUGCAUGUUCAAAAGAUCUAUGAUGGUCUUGUAAUCUUAAUCUAAUAUAUUUUAGAUAUUUUAUUUUUUUCCCUCUUGGGGAAUACAUUUAGUGUAGAAAAUACUUCAUGACAUUUUCAUAUAUGGUUAUAUAACUUUUCAUACAUAAACAUGAAAUUUGUUGUAGAAAAUUCAGAUCUAGGGCUUCAAUAUAAUCUGUUCCUUGAAUCUAUUUUU
Carlito syrichta (Philippine tarsier) is the source of this 5660-nucleotide RNA transcript. It is a transcript of the gene named rho GTPase-activating protein 5-like, with no coding region annotated. NCBI's taxonomy places the organism in Eukaryota, Metazoa, Chordata, Mammalia, Primates, Tarsiidae. The record is from RefSeq and is a predicted model, not a curated record. The transcript is spliced from 2 exons.